CGAAGAUACCAGCUGGCUGCAACUGUUUAUUAAAAACACAGCACUGUGCAAACACGAAAGUGGACGUAUACGGUGUGACGCCUGCCCGGUGCCGGAAGGUUAAUUGAUGGGGUCAGCGCAAGCGAAGCUCUUGAUCGAAGCCCCGGUAAACGGCGGCCGUAACUAUAACGGUCCUAAGGUAGCGAAAUUCCUUGUCGGGUAAGUUCCGACCUGCACGAAUGGCGUAAUGAUGGCCAGGCUGUCUCCACCCGAGACUCAGUGAAAUUGAACUCGCUGUGAAGAUGCAGUGUACCCGCGGCAAGACGGAAAGACCCCGUGAACCUUUACUAUAGCUUGACACUGAACAUUGAGCCUUGAUGUGUAGGAUAGGUGGGAGGCUUAGAAGUGUGGACGCCAGUCUGCAUGGAGCCGACCUUGAAAUACCACCCUUUAAUGUUUGAUGUUCUAACGUUGACCCGUAAUCCGGGUUGCGGACAGUGUCUGGUGGGUAGUUUGACUGGGGCGGUCUCCUCCUAAAGAGUAACGGAGGAGCACGAAGGUUGGCUAAUCCUGGUCGGACAUCAGGAGGUUAGUGCAAUGGCAUAAGCCAGCUUGACUGCGAGCGUGACGGCGCGAGCAGGUGCGAAAGCAGGUCAUAGUGAUCCGGUGGUUCUGAAUGGAAGGGCCAUCGCUCAACGGAUAAAAGGUACUCCGGGGAUAACAGGCUGAUACCGCCCAAGAGUUCAUAUCGACGGCGGUGUUUGGCACCUCGAUGUCGGCUCAUCACAUCCUGGGGCUGAAGUAGGUCCCAAGGGUAUGGCUGUUCGCCAUUUAAAGUGGUACGCGAGCUGGGUUUAGAACGUCGUGAGACAGUUCGGUCCCUAUCUGCCGUGGGCGCUGGAGAACUGAGGGGGGCUGCUCCUAGUACGAGAGGACCGGAGUGGACGCAUCACUGGUGUUCGGGUUGUCAUGCCAAUGGCACUGCCCGGUAGCUAAAUGCGGAAGAGAUAAGUGCUGAAAGCAUCUAAGCACGAAACUUGCCCCGAGAUGAGUUCUCCCUGACUCCUUGAGAGUCCUGAAGGAACGUUGAAGACGACGACGUUGAUAGGCCGGGUGUGUAAGCGCAGCGAUGCGUUGAGCUAACCGGUACUAAUGAACCGUGAGGCUUAACCUUACAACGCCGAAG
Molecule: ribosomal RNA, 1165 nt
Filed under: Escherichia coli
Lineage: Bacteria; Pseudomonadati; Pseudomonadota; Gammaproteobacteria; Enterobacterales; Enterobacteriaceae
Description: partial 23S ribosomal RNA
Rfam family: Bacterial large subunit ribosomal RNA
Source: RNAcentral